Molecule: ribosomal RNA, 492 nt
Filed under: uncultured bacterium
Lineage: Bacteria
Description: partial 16S ribosomal RNA
Rfam family: Bacterial small subunit ribosomal RNA
Source: RNAcentral
AUUGAACGCUGGCGGCAUGCUUUACACAUGCAGGUCGAACGGUAACAGGCCUUCGGGUGCUGACGAGUGGCGAACGGGUGAGUAAUGCAUCGGAACGUGCCCAGAGGUGGGGGAUAACGCAGCGAAAGCUGUGCUAAUACCGCAUGUGAUCUGAGGAUGAAAGCGGGGGACCAGGCAGCAAUGUUUGGCCUCGCGCCUUUGGAGCGGCCGAUGUCAGAUUAGGUAGUUGGUGGGGUAAAGGCCUACCAAGCCGACGAUCUGUAGCUGGUCUGAGAGGACGAGCAGCCACACUGGGACUGAGACACGGCCCAGACUCCUACGGGAGGCAGCAGUGGGGAAUUUUGGACAAUGGGCGCAAGCCUGAUCCAGCAAUGCCGCGUGCGGGAAGAAGGCCUUCGGGUUGUAAACCGCUUUUGUACGGAACGAAAAGGCUCUGGCUAAUACCUGGGGCUGAUGACGGUACCGUAAGAAUAAGCACCGGCUAACUACGUG